AUGAUACAGUACCGGCAGUUUCUUUGCUCCAGGGCAGGGAGAAGGCAGAGCAAGUUCAUAACCAUGGAGGGCCGCAAGCGCAGGCUUAGACCGGAGACUCGUUGUGAUUGCGGUGCACAUAUGGUGGUGAAGCUGGACAGAGAACGUGGCGUUUUGUUCGUCGCAUCAUUCGUGGAUGAUCACAACCACGCGAUGGGUCGGCCGGACGAGGUUUGUUUUUUAUGGUCACACAGACGGAUUGGAGAUGGCCAGAGGGCCGAGAUAUUGGCGAUGGAAGCGGCCGGGAUAAGAAAGCAUAUUAUAAUGGGCAACUCCAUCAGCAGAUACGGUUCGUACGAUAAGUGCGGGCUUAUCAGGAGGGACAUUUAUAAUCUUUGUUGCAGUGAAAAAAUGAAGCUCAUUGCAAAGGGUGAUGCAGAGACGGCAGUUGGUAUUAUGAGGAGCAGGAAGGAGAAGGACCCUGAGUUUUUUUUUUAG
Molecule: ribosomal RNA, 477 nt
Filed under: Triticum aestivum (bread wheat)
Lineage: Eukaryota; Viridiplantae; Streptophyta; Magnoliopsida; Poales; Poaceae
Description: partial small subunit ribosomal RNA
Source: RNAcentral